CUGGCGGCGUGCUUCAUACAUGCAAGUCGAACGAGAAGCUGACUUCGGUCAGUGGAAAGUGGCGGACGGGUGAGUAAUAUGUAGAGAAUCUGCCCUUGAGUGGGGGACAACAGAGGGAAACUUCUGCUAAUACCCCAUAUGAGCUAACUUGAAAUAGUUAUCUUGAAAACUCCGGUGCUCAAGGAUGAGUCUGCAUCUGAUUAGCUAGUUGGCGGUGUAAUGGACCACCAAGGCGACGAUCAGUAGCUGGUUUGAGAGGAUGAUCAGCCACAAUGGGACUGAGACACGGCCCAUACUCCUACGGGAGGCAGCAGUAGGGAAUUUUGCGCAAUGGGCGAAAGCCCUGACGCAGCAACGCCGCGUGAACGAUUAAGCCCUUCGGGGUGUAAAGUUCUGUCAGUAGGGACGAAUUUUGACGGUACCUACAGAGGAAGCACCGGCUAACUCCGUGCCAGCAGCGGC
Molecule: ribosomal RNA, 462 nt
Filed under: uncultured bacterium
Lineage: Bacteria
Description: bacterial SSU rRNA
Rfam family: Bacterial small subunit ribosomal RNA
Source: RNAcentral